AUGCCCGACGCCGGCCCUCUCCAUCCCCACGCUGCCCUAUGGGCGCAAGACAACUCCAUCCAGAACAUCAAGAGCCUCAUCCCAGUCACCCUCGACCUCAAGGCGUCCAACUUCUCCAAGUGGUGCAACUUCCUCACCAUUGCCGUCAACCAGUUCGCCCUCGCCGAUCAUCUUGAACCGGCACCCCCUCCAGCUGACGCGGAGUGGCUGCGGAUGGACUCCACCGUCCUUCGGUGGCUGUACGGCUCCAUCAACCCCGACAUCGCCGACAUGGUCAUGGCAGCCGGUACCACGACUGUCGCUGUCUUCGCUGGCAUCACCUCCCUCUUCCGCGGCAACCAACAGUCGCGUGUGGUCUACCUCGUCCAGAAGUUCCACAACAUCGUCCAAGGCGACAAGACCGUCACCGCCUACUGCCUCGAGCAAAACACGGUCGCUGAUGCUCUCGCCGACGUCAAUGCCUCGGUCUCCGACGACGCUCUGGUGUGGAACACCAUCAAGGGCCUCAACGACCACUACAUGGACAUCGGCAACCACGCGCCUCUCAUCAAGCCGUUCCCAACGUUCCUUGAAUUUUGCGACAUGCUUCUUCUGCAGGAACUUAAGCCGUCCUCCCUGAGCUCUACGUCGCCCGUGGUCUUCUACUCCGCUCCUGCCAAUGGUGGCCUCGCGGGGGAUUUGCACCUCCACCACCACAACCGGCCGGUCUCGGUGCUCCGGCGCCAUACGGUGCUCCCACCGGGUACGGUACCGGCUGCUACAAGGGGAAGAAAAAGAAGACUUGGGGUGGUGGCGCCCCCAUCUUCCCCAACAUGCAGAACCCCUGGGCCGAUGCCAUCCACAUGUACCCGAUGA
Molecule: ribosomal RNA, 855 nt
Filed under: Triticum aestivum (bread wheat)
Lineage: Eukaryota; Viridiplantae; Streptophyta; Magnoliopsida; Poales; Poaceae
Description: partial small subunit ribosomal RNA
Source: RNAcentral